Molecule: long non-coding RNA, 2010 nt
Filed under: Homo sapiens (human)
Lineage: Eukaryota; Metazoa; Chordata; Mammalia; Primates; Hominidae
Description: HSALNT0108768
Source: RNAcentral
UUUUCUUAAUCCAGUUUAUCAUUGAUGGACAUUUGGGUUGGUUCCAAGUCUUUGCUAUUGUGAAUAGUGCCACAAUAACAAUCCUAAGCUAAAAGAACAAAGCUGAGGGCAUCAUGCUACCUGACUUCAAACUAUACUACAAGGCUACAGUAACCAAAACAGCAUGGUACUGGUACCAAAACAGAGAUAUAGGCCAAUGGAACAGAACAGAGCCCUUAGAAAUAAUACCACACCUCUACAACCAUCUGAUCUUUGACAAACCUGACAAAAACGAGCAAUGGAGAAAAGAUUCCCUAUUUAAUAAAUGGUGCUGGGAAAACUGGCUAGCCAUAUGUAGAAAGCUGAAGUUGGAUCCCUUCCUUACGCCUUAUACAAAAAUUAAUUCAAGAUGGAUUAAAGAUUUAAAUGUUAGACCUAAAACCAUAAAAACCCUAGAUGAAAGCUUCUUAUUGAAAUGUUCACUUUUGAAAUUCUAGAGGAUUCUGAGUUCAGUGUACAUCUCCCAUUUCUUUAUUUUGAAUAAUUACACUGAAGACCUGGAAUACAUAUCAAAUGUUGUCUGUAGAUUAUGAAUCUGAGCUGCACAUGAACAAUUAUAUUCCACAAAAUAAAUCCAGUUCAGCCAACAGCUUCCAUACGUGUAUAACAAUAAUAAAUUAUAAUGCACCCCCUUCUUUUCUUCCAAAAUACAUUUAUUGAAUAACAGACAAAAUUAAAAUGAAUGCAAUGAAGUUUUAAUGCUAUAGAAAUAUGUCAAUCUCAGGCCAGAGGCGGUGGCUCACGCCUGUAAUCCCAGCACUUUGGGAGGCUGAGGUGGGCAGGUCACGAGGUCAGGAGUUCGAGACCAGUCUGGUCAGCAUGGUGAAACUCCGUCUCUACUAAAAACAGAAAAAAUUAACCGGGCAUGGUGGAGCACACAUGUAAUCACAGCUAGCUACAUGGGAGGCUGAGGCAGGAGAAUUGCUUGAACCCAAGAGGUGGAGGUUGCAGUGAGCCGAGAUCACAUCACUGCAAUCCAGCCUGGGUGACAGAGUGAGACUCAAAAAAAAAAAAAAAAAAAAAAAAGAAAGAAAAAAGAAAAGAAAGAAAAAAAUAUGUCAGUCUCAUGUUCAGUUAAAAUGUUCAGUAGAACAUAAUGUUGGGUUCAAUGUUCUACUCAGCCUGGGAAUGGUUCUAUAUUUAGAAAACAAACCAACAAAGUAAAAAUUGUUGCCCAACGUGGAGAAGGGUACAGAAGAAUACCAGGAAACAUACCUUGACUUCUUUAAGGGAAAAAUUUCUAAUAAUUAGAAGUGGUUAGCAACAAAAUGGACCACUUUAUGAAAAGGCAAUUUCUUUUUAUUUCAUUUAUUUAUUUAUUUAUUUUAUUAUACUUUAAGUUCUGGGAUACAUGUGCAGAACGUGCAGUUUUGUUACAUAGAUAUACACAUGCGAUGGUGGUUUGCUGCACCUAUCAACCUGUCACCUACAUUAGGUAUUUCUCCUAAUGUUAUCCCUCUCCUAGCCUCCCACCCCACAACAGGCCCCAGUGUGUGAUGUUCCCCUCUCUAUGUCCAUGUGUUCUCAUUGUUCACCUUUCACUUAUGAGUGAGAACAUGUGGUGUUUGGUUGUCCUUUCUUGUGAUAGUUUGAUGAGAGCAAUGGUUUCCAGCUUCAUCCAUGUCCCUACAAAGGACAUGAACUCAUCCCUUUUCAUGGCUGCAUAGUAUUCCAUGGUGUAUAUGUGCCACAUUUUCUUUAUCCAGUCUAUUAUUGAUGGAUAUUUGGGUUGGUUCCAAGUCUUUGCUAUUGUGAAUAGUGCCACAAUAAACAUACAUGUGCAUGUGUCUUUAUAGCAGCAUGAUUUAUAAUCCUUUAGGUAUAUAUCCAGUAAUGGGAUUGUUGGGUCAAAUAGUAGUUUUAGCUCUAGAUCCUUGAGGAAUCACCACACUGUCUUCCACAAUGGUUGAACUAAUUUACACUCCCAUCAAUAGUCUAAAAGUAUUCCUGUUUCUUCACAUCCUCUCCAGC